CGCAGCGUGGUGUAGUGGUUUGAGCUUUGGACUAUGACUUUGGAGACCAAGGUUCGAAUCCCAGCUCAGCUA
This 72-nucleotide transfer RNA is filed under the name Phrynosoma platyrhinos (Desert horned lizard). RNAcentral's name for it is "tRNA-OTHER". Lineage: Eukaryota; Metazoa; Chordata; Lepidosauria; Squamata; Phrynosomatidae. The record is from RNAcentral.